CAAGUUAAGCGGUAAUAGACAAGGCAUAACGAAUAAAAUACAAGAAAAGCCAAGAAUUGAUUUAAGCCGAACAUUAGUCAAUAAAGCGACCGUGCUAGAACCACGGGACUCGAGGGGUGCCUUAUACCUUCCUAUCGAUCAACAGAAUUCCUUACUCAGUCUUCUGUUUCGUAGAUCAUAACUAAGAGUCAAACCUUCCUUU
Molecule: long non-coding RNA, 202 nt
Filed under: Nicotiana benthamiana
Lineage: Eukaryota; Viridiplantae; Streptophyta; Magnoliopsida; Solanales; Solanaceae
Description: long non-coding RNA (NBEN_LNC022294)
Source: RNAcentral